Molecule: long non-coding RNA, 5162 nt
Organism: Chelonia mydas (Green sea turtle)
Lineage: Eukaryota; Metazoa; Chordata; Testudines; Cheloniidae
Exons: 2
Source: RefSeq, a predicted model, not a curated record
UUACAGCCCAUCAAUAUCAGUAGUUGAGUUCAAAAUGUGUAAUGUCACACCAGGUCGCUGUUACAGUGCUUCAGUAGCUGUCCAGCAUUCUUCCUAAGAGGAAAUCUACACUAGAGCUGGAGGUGUAAUUUCCUACUCGAGUAGACAUACCUGCACUAGCUCGGAUCAAGCUAGCGCAGAAAAAAUAAAGUGUAGCCACAGUGGUGUCAGCAGCGAGAUGGGCUAGUCACCCAAAUAUGAUCCUAUCUGAGACCUUGGAUACAUACUGAGGUGGCUAGUCCCUCCCGGCAGCUGUGCCACUGGGUUUACACCUUCUAUUUUAAACUAUUUUUAAUUGUUAACUGUUUCUGACUGUUUACCCGAGCUGCACAUUACACUUCCAACUCCAUUGUAGGUAUACAUGUAGAGCCAUCUGAAACCCAGCCUCAGAGGAAAGACCAGCAUAGUAGGUUCUUACUCCCUUGGGAGAAAAAGUGAACCAUGACCUCUAAUGGAAGGAGGAUAAUGAGCUAUUCAAGACAAGUUUCCAUUUUCCACUCACACCCCAAUCUUCUCUUCAAUCCCAGCACAAAACCAAAAUUCAGUAUAUGGCCAUCUGAGCUCUGAUAACAUGCUCAGCUCUCUAGAAAUGUGCUUUUCACACGGAUAAUGAAGUCACCCAGACACUCAACUGGUUUAGAGCAGGAAGUCCAUAACAAGUCCUUUAUUAGGGGUUAUCUACACACAAAUUUGCACAAGUUUAGUUAAACUGGUUUAGAUAAACUGAUGCAAACCUCUGUGUGUGGAGGGAUGCUUUUAUUUUGGUUAAAGGGUGGCUAAUUUUGAUUUAACUUAAACUGUUCCCAGUUGACUUUACGCUGAAUCAAAAUAAGCCUAGUUUAAACCAAAACUGUGUUUUAAUGCCAAAUUGGGUUUAACAACAUACCUUUAGGUACAAUUUGCAUGUAGACAAGUCCUUAUUUAAAUUUUUCUCAUGCGUUUGUAGCUUGUUGGAUACAUUUGUUUUAUCAUCUGGGAAAUAAUUUUUUAAAAAAUCCUGCCAUAGGCAGUUUAUCCUGAAGUUUCCAGUCAAACGGGAUUAUUUGAGAAAUACAAUCAUGUGACUUUCCUUUUUUCCCUCAAGUUAACAGUAAUUUUAAAAAUUAACUGUUUCCAGCCACAUACAUCCCCUCUGUAAAAAUGCCAUUUGUCAUAUCUUAGUCGUAUAUACAUUUGUUUCACUAUAAAACUCAAAACUGUCUCUUGUUACUACUUGAGUCAGGUAAUUCUGCUCUAUGACCUGGUCAUGUUAUUUGCCUGCUUUUAAAACGUGUGAGGAAGUAGUUGAUAAUGGACUCUUUUUUUUUUUUUUUUUUUUUCAAAAUUCUCCACAUGAAGUUUUAUUGCACUUCUCUUUCAGAAACCAGGAAGAGCAGCAUGAGACCGAAAAAAAUAAAUUUUGCCUUUCUGUUACUUAUAUAACCAAGGUGGAACAAUUCAAAUUAAGGCAAUUUAAAUCACUGAUUUAAUUCAUGAUUUAAAAUCUCAUGACUUAAAAAAGACCACAUUGAUUUAAAUCAGGUUCAGGCUUUCGAAAACUAAUUUGAACAUUUGUGCUAUUUAAUUUUAGACAUAGGUGCUGACACCAUGGGUGCUCCAGGGCUGGAACAUCCAUGGGAAAAAAAAAACGGGUGCUUAGCAUUCACCGGCAGCCAAACUCUUCCCCCCGCAACCCCCAGUGCCUCCUGCCCGCUUGCGGCCUUGCUGAUCAACCCCUCCUCCUCCUUCCCAGCACCUCCCGCCGUGGAUCAGCUGUUCUGUGGGGGGAGGAGAAAGGGCAGGGCGCGCUUGGGAGAGGGGGUGGAAUAGGGCAGAGAAGGGGUCAGGAAGAGGUGAGGGCGGGAAGAAGCGUGAUGGGAGCUUGGAUGGAGUGGGGGCGGGGCCUGGGGCAAAGCAGGGCCUGGGGUUGAGCACCCCCAGGGAAAGCUGGAAACCAGCACCUGUGACUUUAGAUUAAAAUUUGUAAUGAACUAUAUUCUAAAUCCUGUUUAUUCUAAAAUGCUACUUCUGGUAAGGUCUCUUACUUGAAUUUCACAAAACUGCUAAAGGCAAAAAAACAAAAUAUUGAAAAUUGGAAGCCCUCAUGCUACCAACACUUAAACAAGUACAUAAAAGUAGUCACGAGACGGCCCAUCGACUUCGACACAACUGCAUGUGCAUAAGUGACUAAAAUUUCAUUUUGAUUAAGAUCUUUUCUGUUAGUGGCAUAAAAUCUUUGGCACUUCAAAACAAAAUUGCUUCAGUUCUGAGAAUGAAAGUUCAUUUAAACAUUCAAUACAUUAAUAAAGUUGUGAAUUUUUUGUGUCUGGAUAAGCCAAAAUCUUCAAAAAUAGAAGCCUAAAGUUAGGCUCCUAAACUCAUAUUUAGACUUCUAAAAGUAGGUGUGUCAAAGCCACCUAAAUGACUUAGGAGGACAAGUCCCAUUGACUUCAAGAUGCAAAUUGUGGUGGAGGAGCAUAGCCUGGUUGAAGCAUUUCAGCUUUUUCACUUGUGGAAGUUCAAAGUAUUGGAAGGUGGAGUUGGUUACAAAUAAAGUGCCAAUAUUAUUGCUUAUUAAUUUUAUCUUUGUAUUUUCCUCAUCCUAAGGGUGUUAAUAAGGCCUUAGACUUGUCAUUUUCAACAUAGAUGGCAUGUUAAGUGUGAAACUUCUUCGUGGAAAAAUGUGUUGUAUCUGAAAUUAUACUAACAAUUAGGAAACUAGGUAAAGAAAGUAGAAAACAUCCAUGUUAGCAAAUUAAGACUAUAAAAUGGGAAGAAAGUAAAUAAUCAGCACCAAGCAAAUAAAAAAAAUGAUUUAAAUAAUAAAUAGAUGUUUAGGGUUUUUUAAAUCAUGAUUUUUAUUAACCCUUCUUAUAAUUUUCUCAAACUUUCACCUUUUAUGCUGAAAUUUGUCAAGCCUGGUCUCAGCUCGAGACUAAAAUUUUUGGGAAAGCUUAAGCAAAAAUGGUUCAGCUGUUUUCAAUAGCAAAAAACAGUUAAAAGAAAAAUACACUUAAGCCAAUACAAAGAAAGUUGAAAUUUGGCAUGGAGAUAUUCCCUGGGUUAGUCAAAGGAAGUGAGUUUAUGGAAAAAAUAUCAUUCCCAGCCCAGGUUUUCCAGUGCAGUCUGUCUUUGUGUCUCUCCUUUAGACUGUUUAUUGAUCUGUUUACAUCAAUCUCCUUGUCAGUUUCUUUAUUAUUAUUUAUUUGUAUUACAGAAGCUCCUAGAGACCUCAGUGAGAUCAGGGCUUCAUUGUGUUGCAUGUUGCAUAAACCUAUAGUAAGAAAGAGAAAUUUUCCUUUAGUACCUCCUUCCCAGGGGUGCAGCCAGCCGUUUGAACUAUGGGUACACACAGGUGGAUCAGUUGCACAAGAUGUCCUCAUGAUCUUGUAAGACAGAUUUGAUCUAGCAGAAGGUUUAAUGUUUGUAAAAGGAAUGGUAAUAAUCAAAAUGGGCUUGCUGGGCUCCCAGGAAACAAAGUCCUGUAAGCACCUAAGGUACUCCACUCCGCAUAGGCCUCUAGACUUAAUGAAGAUGAGUUUGGCUACUUCUCUAAUUACAUCCCUAGUGGGAUCAAUGGAGAGCACAAGUAGCUGGCAUGCACUGAGAAACUUGUCUCUGCAGCCUGGUGGCAUGGGACUUUCUGCUCCAAGACCUAGGUCUGGUCUACAAUACAAAGUAAAGCCAACAUAAGUCUAUAUGCAUCCCUCUGUUUGUGCAUGUGUCUAUACUCAGAUUUCUCUCUGGCCGAUUUGGGUGACCCAUUACAGUGACAUUUCCUCCCCGAGCGGUGCAGAGCCACAGUCGACCUACUUAGGUUGACGCAGCAUGAAUAUAGACACUGCGUUACUUGUGUCAACCCUCACAGUCCUCCAGUACCUGUCCCACAGUUCCCAUCUCCCAUUAACAGUGCUCUGUUCGCAGUCUGGAACUCCACUGCCCAGGGGUCACAGAGACCAGAAGUCCACUCCCCUCUUUAAGCCCUCCCACCCCAUGUGCUUUUGAAAUGCUUUUUCCUGAUUACCCCCCUUGGUGAACAUACUUAGCACACCUACCAAUUCACCUUUGUUGUAUGCAUCCGAUCAUGCCAGCUUCACACACACACAACACUACUAGACAUGCUCCUGCCUGGAGUCGGUAGGAAGUAUUGGAUCACCUGGGCCCGUGGGGAGAACAGGCUGUGCAAGCCCACCAUAGAAACGUUGACAUUUACAAGCAGCUUGCAGGGGAGAUGCAGGCAAAGGGACGUGACAGGAGUCAGAAGCAGUCGACAUGAAAGUGAAGGAACUUCACAAAGGAUACCGCAAAACAAGGAAGGGCAACUAUAGAUCUGGUGCUGCCCCACAGAUCUGCUGCUUUUACAACAAACUGUAUGCCAUACCUGGUAGAGACCCCACCAUCAGCCCACAACGGAUACCCCUGCCAUGAACAGCAAGGAGGAGGAGGGUGGAGACAUUUUGGGGGUCUGUAACUGUGCUGCAAGCUGGGAACUGUUUGAAACGCCUCAGGAGUCUAACCAGUCCCAGCAGGUGACUGGAGUCCAGCCCACUGACAAAGGGGAAGGGAGGUCGGCUUCUGACAUGGUGGCCUUGAGGGGUUCACCCUGAUCAUGAGAAGGAAGAAGACUAAGGAGGAUAUGUCCCAUGAGAUCCUCUAUGCCACAGUUGCCUCAGACUGUGAUCAAAGGGCUUGGAGGGAAAUGUGCCAGGACCUAAUAGUUUUGGGCAGGUAACAAACGAAAACGUUGCAGACCAAGGUUGAUCUACAAGUCCAAAGAUCCCAGAUCAGAAUCCUUUGCAGCCCUUGGAGAACUCCAUGGUCACUGUUCCUUACACCGUCAACAUUCCAUGUGGCUCGGCGGUGUAUAUCCUUACCCCUACCACUCCAUGGUGGCAUCAGUGAGGGGAACCAUAGCUGCGUAUAUACUGACCUGUGAAAACCACAGAUAGGGGGGCAGGGAGGGAGCGUAGCCACAACGGACUGUAUUGCAUGGACAUAAAUGUUUUCUUCCACUUUCACUUGUAAGCUGUGUUCACCCUUAAUAGUGUUGGUAAAAGUUUAUUUUUUUAACCGUUUAUAUGUAUGUUUACACUUUAAUUUUAAUAACUGCUGAUUUGCUCACAAUAAAGCACUAUUUUUGGAAA